RNAcentral lists this long non-coding RNA (2584 nucleotides) under Homo sapiens (human). RNAcentral describes it as "HSALNT0270263". The record is from RNAcentral. Lineage: Eukaryota; Metazoa; Chordata; Mammalia; Primates; Hominidae.
GCAGUAGCAGUGGCAGUGGCAGUGGCAUAGCAGUGGCAGUGGCAUAGCAGUGGCAGUGACAGUAGCAGUAGCAGUGGCAGUGGGAGUGGCAUAGCAGUGGCAGUGGCAGUAGCAGUGGCAGUGGGAGUGGCAGUGGCAGUGGCAGCGGCAGUGGCAUUAGCAGUGGCAGUGGCAGUGGUAGCAGUAGCAGUGGCAGUGGUGACAGUGGCAGUGGAAGUAGCAGCGGCAGCGGCAGUGGCAGUGGCAUUAGCAGUGGCAGUGGCAGUGGUAGCAGUAGCAGUGGCAGUGGUGACAGUGGCAGUGGAAGCAGCGGCAGCGGCAGUGGCAGUGGCAUUAGCAGUGGCAGUGGCAGUGGCUGCUGUUGAUCACAUACUGUUCUGUGUCAAGCACCACACCAGGCUUUUUCCCACUUGCAUGGGCACUGAAACCAUCCUGCAGCUUUGCUGAGGAAGCCAAGCUCAGAGUGGUGCCCUCUGCACCUUGACCCGCUUCUCCCCAAGGGAUUCCCCUGCCCCUGUCCACCUCCUGGCUGCCCCUGUGGAACACCCACUGCAUAGCUAGGUUGGGCACAUGCAUGUGGCCGGGGCCCACCUGGCCUUGGAGGAAGUGCUGAUUGUCUCAUUCUACAGGUUUGGACACUGAGGCUUGAAGCAGAUCAGAGAUGAGCAGGUGGAGCAAGAUUUGGACCUGGACAUGGCCUCAGAGUCUCCUCCCACCCUCUGUGGUCCCUGGACCAGGAGCAGCCUUGUGCCACCCCUUAGGGAAGACGUCCAGUCCCACCCACCCCCGCGGCUCUCCUCGCAGGAGUCCAAGCUGGGCCUCCAGCCUCCCUGCCAGGAGCAGAAAGGAGGCAGAGACUGCCCUGAGCCGCCAGGCGGGUUCUGCCAUCUCGCAGAAAGUGGCCGGACAGGUUGGGUCUGAAGCCACAUAGAGUUGGGAUUGUUUCCUCAUAAUCACUGUGAGGCUGGGCUGCAGGAGCCAAGCUGAUUCUCGUUGAAAUCCUAACGCCCCAGGCAAUGAUGUUAGGAGGCGGGGCUUCUGGGAGAUGGCAAGUUCGUGAGGCUGCAGCUCUGCUGGGGGAUCAGUGUCCUUCUACAAGCGGCUCCAGGGAGGUCCCUUGCCCCUUCCACCAUGUGAGGACCCGAGAUGGUGCCGUCUAUGAACCGGGAAGUGAGUCCUCUCCGGACGUGGAACAAGUUGGUGCCUUGAUUUUGAACUUGCAGCCUCCAGGUAUGAAUGUGAGCUCUGGGCUCACUGCCUGUGGGGAGCCCUGCCUCACAAGGAGGGGUCCCUCUGCAUCUGCCAUGCAUGGCUGUUUCAAUCAAAGCUGCUGUCUAACACCACCGGCUCGACCUUGAGUUCCUCCCUGAGCAAAGCCAAGCGACCUCCUGGACUGAGCCAGUUUUCGUGCCUGCCUGCCCUGGCUCAUUGGCCAGGGACCCCACCCCGCCAUGUCCAGGCCUUGGUGAUACAGGACAGAGGUGCCCGUGCAGGUUGUGCCUGUGGCUGGGUCCCCAGGGAGAAGGUGGCAACCCCAGGCCAGCAGCCUCCUACCCUGAACUCCAGGCAACAUCGUCGGCCCCCUGGCACUGCACCUGCACUGUGGGCAGAGAAGGAGGGAAGGCUGGGAGAGGAGGAGGAGGUCGAAUGUCGCUGGAGGUCGGCGUCCUUCUGCAGCCGUGGCUUCAUGGGGUUUAAGUACGAUGAUGCUGCAUUGAGACGUUGUACUGUGUGAAGUCAGGGCCUUCUGUGCAUCGGUCGAGGGUGCAAUGCACACGGCACCCCCGAGCAGCCACCCAUCCUCCCUUCCCUCCACCCUGCGAGGCCCCGUUGUCCGUCUGUCCACACUCUGCUCCAUGAGCACACGUGACUUAGCUUCGCCUUGUGAGCCGCUGCUUGGGGUGAGCAUGCUUCCUGCUGGAUGCUUCUCUAUGUAAGCACCUGCCUGAGUGUCAGCCCUCUUAAGGUGAACCGCUCCGUGUCAUUCGUACAUUCACAAGUUUGUGCCGCCAUCAUCGUGAUCGGAUUCCAAAACAUUUUCAUCACCUCCAAGAAAGCCUUGUACCUGGCAGCAGUCACUGUCUCUAUGGAUUUGCUUAUUCUGGACAUUUCAUAAAAAUAGAAUCAAACAGCAUUUGGCUCUUCGUGUCUGGCCUGUUUCUCUGAGCACGAUAUUUCGAAGAUUCAGCUGGGUCUCGCUCCUGUUCCUGGCUGAAGCUGAAUAAUAUUCCAGUGCACGGCUGGACCACAGUCAUCAACUGACGGACACUUGGUGGUCUCACAUUUCCACUGGUGUGAAUAGUCCUGCUGUGAACAUGCGUGUGCGAGAUUUUGGUUGAACACUUGUCCUCAGUCCUCUUGGGGCAGUGCCAGCCUUGGCAGACGGGCCGGACAGAGGAGGGAUGAUGGCUCAGGCUGGCAGGGGCUGCCACGGGGCAGCGAUGGCCACCUCGAGCCUGGCCAGUGCUUCUGGACUUCCUCUCUGCUGACUUUGUUCCCUGGCUAGAAACAGUUGUGGCAGCGCUCCCAGACCGGGCGUCUGCACGGAGUGGCCUCAGCUUCCUUGAGCUGUGGGAAUUUAACG